CCUCCGCCGCCCCUUGGGCUUGGCGCUUGGCUGUGAACUUUCCGCUGGGGUAAGUUCUCCUUUAAGAAAAGGAACUGCUCCUUAUGCAUAUUUAACGCCGGGUGUCUGCAGUGCCCAGAUGACGCGGGGCUGGAGGCUCACAGGCAGGACCUGAGUUGUAGGGGAAGUAAAGGAGCCACCCUUCACCCGCACCCUCUCGCUGGGAGCCCCUUGCUCUGAACCCAUGCUCCCUCUGAGGAAAGACCAAUUCUGCUGGCACCCCGUGUCUGGACUUUGGCGGGCAUGGCAUAGCAGCUGGAUCCGAAAGCACCAUCCCCAUAGAUAGAAAUCCUCCUCUGCACUACGCGACUUGCAAGGAAGGCAACAAGGGGACAUGUGGAGAGCCCAAACGUCUGGCAUCGAGGAGCCGAGAUCCACCUCGCACUGCCCUGAAGGAAAGUUUGUUCCCAAACUGAUUACGUUGUGGUGUUCAGUGCUGUUGUCAAAUCGGUUUGAACCAUCCCAAGUGUAAAAUAAAGAUCUCUGCUCGGGUA
This is a long non-coding RNA of Anas platyrhynchos (mallard), 533 nucleotides long. RefSeq lists it as uncharacterized. Lineage: Eukaryota; Metazoa; Chordata; Aves; Anseriformes; Anatidae. The record is from RefSeq and is a predicted model, not a curated record.